GUCUACGGCCAUGCUACCCUGAACAAGCCCGAUCCUGUCUGAUCUCAGAAGCUAAGCCGGGUCGGGCCUGGUUAGUACUUGGAUGGGAGACCACCUAGGAAGCCCAGGUGCAGAAGGUA
This 119-nucleotide ribosomal RNA is filed under the name Pteropus alecto (black flying fox). The record is from RNAcentral. Lineage: Eukaryota; Metazoa; Chordata; Mammalia; Chiroptera; Pteropodidae.